RNAcentral lists this ribosomal RNA (440 nucleotides) under uncultured bacterium. RNAcentral describes it as "partial 16S ribosomal RNA". It matches the Rfam family "Bacterial small subunit ribosomal RNA", at positions 338 to 795 of the family's 1533-position model. The record is from RNAcentral.
CCUACGGGGGGCAGCAGUGGGGAAUAUUGCACAAUGGGGGAAACCCUGAUGCAGCGACGCCGCGUGAGUGAAGAAGUAUUUCGGUAUGUAAAGCUCUAUCAGCAGGGAAGAAAAUGACGGUACCUGAUUAAGAAGCCCCGGCUAACUACGUGCCAGCAGCCGCGGUAAUACGUAGGGGGCAAGCGUUAUCCGGAUUUACUGGGUGUAAGGGGAGCGUAGACGGCAGCACAAGUCUGGAGUGAAAUGCCGGGGCUUAAGCCGGGAACUGCUUUGGAAACUGUGCAGCUAGAGUGCAGGAGAGGUAAGUGGAAUGUCUAGUGUAGCGGUGAAAUGCGUAGAUAUUAGGAGGAACACCAGUGGCGAAGGCGGCUUACUGGACUGUAACUGACGUUGAGGCUCGAAAGCGUGGGGAGCAAACAGGAUUAGAUACCCGAGUAGUC